AGAGUUUGAUCAUGGCUCAGGAUGAACCUAGCGGCAGGCUUAAUACAUGCAAGUCGUGGGGCAGCACAGGUAGCAAUACUGGGUGGCGACCGGCAAACGGGUGCGGAACACGUACGCAACCUUCCUUUAACUGGAGAAUAGCCCCUCGAAAGAGGGAUUAAUACUCCGUAACAUAUUGAUAAGGCAUCUUAUUAAUAUUAUAGCUCCGGCGGUUAAAGAUGGGCGUGCGCCUGAUUAGAUAGUUGGUGAGGUAACGGCUCACCAAGUCUGCGAUCAGUAACUGGUGUGAGAGCACGACCAGUCACACGGGCACUGAGACACGGGCCCGACUCCUACGGGAGGCAGCAGUAAGGAAUAUUGGUCAAUGGACGCAAGUCUGAACCAGCCAUGCCGCGUGGAGGAUUAAGGCCCUCUGGGUUGUAAACUCCUUUUAUCUGGGAAGAAAUCCAUGUAUUCUUAUGUGGUUGACGGUACCAGAGGAAUAAGCACCGGCUAACUCCGUGCCAGCAGCCGCGGUAAUACGGAGGGUGCAAGCGUUAUCCGGAUUUACUGGGUUUAAAGGGUGCGUAGGCGGACAGGUAAGUCCGUGGUGAAAUCUCUGAGCUUAACUCAGAAACUGCCAUGGAUACUAUUUGUCUUGAAUACUGUGGAGGUAAGCGGAAUAUGUCAUGUAGCGGUGAAAUGCUUAGAUAUGACAUGGAACACCAAUUGCGAAGGCAGCUUACUACACAAAUAUUGACGCUGAGGCACGAAAGCGUGGGGAUCAAACAGGAUUAGAUACCCUAGUAGUCC
RNAcentral lists this ribosomal RNA (792 nucleotides) under uncultured bacterium. RNAcentral's name for it is "bacterial SSU rRNA". It matches the Rfam family "Bacterial small subunit ribosomal RNA", at positions 8 to 796 of the family's 1533-position model. The record is from RNAcentral.